This 418-nucleotide ribosomal RNA is filed under the name uncultured bacterium. RNAcentral describes it as "bacterial SSU rRNA". It matches the Rfam family "Bacterial small subunit ribosomal RNA", at positions 28 to 447 of the family's 1533-position model. The record is from RNAcentral.
GACGAACGCUGGCGGCGCGCCUAACACAUGCAAGUCGAGCGGGAAGCUUUUUAAGGAUUCUUCGGAUGAAUUAAAAAGUGGAGAGCGGCGGACGGGUUAGUAACGCGUGGGAAUAUACCCUUUGGUACGGAAUAGCCUCUGGAAACGGAGAGUAAUACCGUAUGAGCCCUUCGGGGGAAAGAUUUAUCGCCAAAGGAUUAGCCCGCGUUAGAUUAGGUAGUUGGUGGGGUAAUGGCCUACCAAGCCUACGAUCUAUAGCUGGUUUUAGAGGAUGAUCAGCAACACUGGGACUGAGACACGGCCCAGACUCCUACGGGAGGCAGCAGUGGGAAUCUUGGACAAUGGGGGCAACCCUGAUCCAGCCAUGCCGCGUGAGUGAUGAAGGCCUUAGGGUCGUAAAGCUCUUUCGCCUGUGAAG